UACGGAGGGAGCGAGCGUUGUUCGGAAUACUGGGCGUAAAGCGUGCGCAGGCGGAUUUUCAAGUCAGGAGUGAAAUCCCAGGGCUCAACCCUGGAAUUGCUCUUGAAACUGGAUGUCUCGAGUCUCGGAGAGGUUGGCGGAAUUCCCAGUGUAGCAGUGAAAUGCGUAGAUAUUGGGAGGAACACCAGUGGCGUAAGCGGCCAACUGGACGAGUACUGACGCUCAUGCACGAAAGUGUGGGGAGUCAAACAGG
This 253-nucleotide ribosomal RNA is filed under the name uncultured bacterium. RNAcentral describes it as "partial 16S ribosomal RNA". It matches the Rfam family "Bacterial small subunit ribosomal RNA", at positions 524 to 776 of the family's 1533-position model. The record is from RNAcentral.